CCUACGGGUGGCAGCAGUGGGGAAUAUUGGACAAUGGGGGGAACCCUGAUCCAGCGACGCCGCGUGAGUGAAGAAGUAUUUCGGUAUGUAAAGCUCUAUCAGCAGGGAAGAAAGAAAUGACGGUACCUGACUAAGAAGCCCCGGCUAACUACGUGCCAGCAGCCGCGGUAAUACGUAGGGGGCAAGCGUUAUCCGGAUUUACUGGGUGUAAAGGGAGCGUAGACGGCGAUGCAAGUCUGAAGUGAAAGGCGGGGGCCCAACCCCCGGACUGCUUUGGAAACUGUAUGGCUGGAGUGCAGGGGAGGUAAGUGGAAUUCCUAGUGGAGCGGUGAAAUGCGUAGAUAUUAGGAGGGACACCAGUGGCGAAGGCGGCUUACUGGACUGUAACUGACGUUGAGGCUCGAAAGCGUGGGGAGCAAACAGGAUUAGAUACCCCUGUAGUC
This 443-nucleotide ribosomal RNA is filed under the name uncultured bacterium. Its description in RNAcentral is "partial 16S ribosomal RNA". It matches the Rfam family "Bacterial small subunit ribosomal RNA", at positions 338 to 795 of the family's 1533-position model. The record is from RNAcentral.